RNAcentral lists this ribosomal RNA (253 nucleotides) under uncultured bacterium. RNAcentral's name for it is "partial 16S ribosomal RNA". It matches the Rfam family "Bacterial small subunit ribosomal RNA", at positions 524 to 776 of the family's 1533-position model. The record is from RNAcentral.
UACGGAGGGUGCAAGCGUUAUCCGGAUUCACUGGGGUUAAAGGGUGCGUAGGUGGGUUGAUAAGUCAGUGGUGAAAUCUCCGAGCUUAACUUGGAAACUGCCAUUGAUACUAUUAGUCUUGAAUACCGUGGAGGUUAGUGGAAUAUGUCAUGUAGCGGUGAAAUGCUUAGAUAUGACAUAGAACACCCAUUGCGAAGGCAGCUGACUACACGGUGAUUGACACUGAGGCACGAAAGCGUGGGGAUCAAACAGG